Hypanus sabinus (Atlantic stingray) is the source of this 636-nucleotide long non-coding RNA. RefSeq lists it as uncharacterized. The record is from RefSeq and is a predicted model, not a curated record. The transcript is spliced from 3 exons. NCBI's taxonomy places the organism in Eukaryota, Metazoa, Chordata, Chondrichthyes, Myliobatiformes, Dasyatidae.
UAAACAUAGAAAGCCUACAGAACAGUACAGACCUUUUGGCUCACAAAGCUGUGCUGAACAUGAUCUUCGUUUAGAAAUUACCCAGGGCUACCCAUAUCCCUCUAUUUGUUGAAACUCCAGGUCCCUAUCCAGGAGUCUUUUAAAAGACCCUAUCAUAUUUUAAAUCGAAGCAAGAGGUGGGGAGGGAAGAGGUAAAAGAAGCUCGGAGAGAAGCUGUUUUUAUUUAAUUGAUAGGGGCAAAGAAGCUAGACUGCGCAGGCGCGUGACGUAGCGCGCCAAAGGUUUAAAAGAAAGACUGCAAUAUACAGCGGCCAUCGUCGGAGUGGACUGAGGCAGAGUGGGACAGCUUUGGCUCAAUCAGGCUUCGGCGAGAACGGGCAGAGGCGAGGUUUGAACGGGGCGCGACCGCAAGCGCGUGAAAGUCGGCUUCUGAGAUCAGCGUGGGAAUUUAAAAAACAAGCAGUGGCUGAGUAUGAACUUCACUCCAGCUGAGGUACUGCCUUGGAGUGUUUCCAAUGUGCCGGCAGUCGAUCUCUGUGUUUGAAGGAAACAUGCAAAAGUAAUCAGCUGUGUUACUCUGCAAAUAUUAAUGCAGGUACAGUAACUACCUUCGUCUCUGGAUGCGUAGACAAGGAA